RNAcentral lists this ribosomal RNA (281 nucleotides) under Rhipicephalus sanguineus (brown dog tick). RNAcentral's name for it is "partial large subunit ribosomal RNA". Lineage: Eukaryota; Metazoa; Arthropoda; Arachnida; Ixodida; Ixodidae. The record is from RNAcentral.
UCUGCUCAAUGAUUUUUUAAAUUGCUGUAGUAUUUUGACUAUACAAAGGUAUUGAAAUAAGAUUUUAAUUGAAUGCUAAGAGAAUGGAAGUCCAGAAAAAAACUUUUUUUAAAUUAAAAAUUGAAGUUUUUUUAAUUUGUGCAGAAACAAUUAUUUAUAUUAAAGACAAGAAGACCCUAUGAAUUUAUUAAAUUUUUAUUUAAUAUGUAAUUACUAUUAGAAAAAUUUUGGCUGGGGCGGCUAGAAAAUAUUAUGAACUUUUUAAAAAUAAAAUGAUCCAU